This 253-nucleotide ribosomal RNA is filed under the name uncultured bacterium. RNAcentral describes it as "partial 16S ribosomal RNA". It matches the Rfam family "Bacterial small subunit ribosomal RNA", at positions 524 to 776 of the family's 1533-position model. The record is from RNAcentral.
UACGGAGGGUGCAAGCGUUAUCCGGAUUUACUGGGUUUAAAGGGUGCGUAGGUGGAUUGGUAAGUCAGUGGUGAAAUACUUUCGCUUAACGAAGGAACUGCCAUUGAUACUAUCAAUCUUGAAUGUAGUGGAGGUAGGCGGAAUGCGUCAUGUAGCGGUGAAAUGCUUAGAUAUGACGCAGAACACCAAUUGCGAAGGCAGCUUGCUACACUACUAUUGACACUGAGGCGCGAAAGCGUGGGGAUCAAACAGG